Molecule: transfer RNA, 99 nt
Filed under: Rhodocollybia butyracea
Lineage: Eukaryota; Fungi; Basidiomycota; Agaricomycetes; Agaricales; Omphalotaceae
Description: tRNA-Phe
Source: RNAcentral
GGGGGUAUAGCUCAGCUGGGAGAGCAGCAGACUGAAGUGCCUUGGCGUUACGUCAUUUGAGUAUUCUGAAGGUCCCGCGUUCGAUCCGCGGUACCCCCA